Pristis pectinata (smalltooth sawfish) is the source of this 359-nucleotide long non-coding RNA. RefSeq lists it as uncharacterized. The record is from RefSeq and is a predicted model, not a curated record. The transcript is spliced from 3 exons. Lineage: Eukaryota; Metazoa; Chordata; Chondrichthyes; Rhinopristiformes; Pristidae.
CUCGGACACUCACUUCCCCGGGACACUCGCCGCUGCCCCACUCACGGCCCUAACUUGAGUUCGGGCGUUGCUCGCCGCUCCUCGACCGCAGACAGGGCUCACUGAAGGCGGAGCAGGAAACGGAGCCACUCGGGGCCCGCCUCACAGCAGCCGUGCAAACGCGGAACCAGAGAGAGGGAGAAGUCGAACAGGGAGUAAUGUUGGCGGGAGCUGGGCUUCUUGCAAUCACUGUCUGGGCCCGGAAUGAAAAGGCCCUGGAUAAUGGAGCAACUAUCCUGCAUGCCUUUUUCGCCACCUUAUCUACCUGUGAUGCCACCGUCAGGGAUCCUUGGCCUUGCUCUACCCUUAUUAGCAUUGGA